This 226-nucleotide long non-coding RNA is filed under the name Lathyrus oleraceus (garden pea). Its description in RNAcentral is "Pisum sativum (pea) long non-coding RNA (PSAT_LNC041998)". Lineage: Eukaryota; Viridiplantae; Streptophyta; Magnoliopsida; Fabales; Fabaceae. The record is from RNAcentral.
CGACUCUUGGGUCCUGUCGGCGACUUGGUUCUUGUUGUAUGGUCUCAGAUGACUUUGGGUUUCAGAUGACUCAGAUUUGUGGUUCCGAUGCCGAAGUUCUGAUCCCGUGCUCCGUGGUACACAGCCAACCAGUCAUUGCAUCAUUUGCAUCAUUUGCAUCAUAGCAUGUUUAUUUUAAAAAAAAAAUAUGCAAUAAAAAAAGAAAUGAAAGAAAAAAGAAAAGAAA